RNAcentral lists this long non-coding RNA (381 nucleotides) under Coffea arabica (coffee). Its description in RNAcentral is "long non-coding RNA (CARA_LNC008381)". Lineage: Eukaryota; Viridiplantae; Streptophyta; Magnoliopsida; Gentianales; Rubiaceae. The record is from RNAcentral.
UGGCUCCUGAGAGCCAUCCGUAUCCUUAUGCUUUGGAAUGAUUAUUGCUUAUUGGAUUAUUGUUGAUUUUGAAAAACUUUUACACUCGCUCAUUUUGAGAUUUCUAUUUGACGUGUUAUUGCUCACGUUUAUGAACUCUUCAUGCUCGUUACUUUGCUAUAUCGAAAACUUGUACUUAUAAAUAAGGGUCAAUUUGUUAUUUGGAACCUCACUGGGCUUUUAGCUCAUACCACGCUAUUUGUUUUCCUUACAGGGGGACGAGUGACGCGUGAGACUUGUAAAAGACUAGCGUAGCCUUUUGUUUUGACUUUUGACUUUUUGGUCUUGUACUCGCGCUAUUCCUCGAAUGGAACAUGUUGUACUUGGAUUGUAUACGUUUUG